CAGUCGCCGCGGUAAUACGGAGGGCGCGAGCGUUACCCAGAUUUACUGGGCGUAAAGGGCGUGUAGGCGGCCUGGGGCGUCCCAUGUGAAAGGCCACGGCUCAACCGUGGAGGAGCGUGGGAUACGCUCAGGCUAGAGGGUGGGAGAGGGUGGUGGAAUUCCCGGAGUAGCGGUGAAAUGCGCAGAUACCGGGAGGAACGCCGAUGGCGAAGGCAGCCACCUGGUCCACUUCUGACGCUGAGGCGCGAAAGCGUGGGGAGCAAACCGGAUUAGAUACCCCAGUAGUCCCUGUCUCUUAUAA
This 301-nucleotide ribosomal RNA is filed under the name uncultured bacterium. RNAcentral's name for it is "partial 16S ribosomal RNA". It matches the Rfam family "Bacterial small subunit ribosomal RNA", at positions 509 to 809 of the family's 1533-position model. The record is from RNAcentral.